AAUAAAGACGAUUUUUAAGACACUUUGCAGGUCGUCUCUGCGUUACGAGAUUCACGUUCCAAGCUCUUUAAAACUCCUCACCCAAAUACAAUUGAUCCCAAUUUAUCACGUCUCCCCCAAGGAAGUUCCAAACACGUCCGUGAAACCUAACGCCGCCGCCACUAGAUCCCUUGGGAGGCCGGUGGCGUACACCGGCGAACUCUGCGCAGCGUCUGGUGAACCCUCUUCUCCCCUCUAUGGCAUCCUCGAUCUCCCCGCCUGGUAUUGGAUCUUGUCCGUUCGGGAACGGCGAUGCGGAGACGCGAUCCGACCGGCCAGCCUCAUCUGUGCCCUCUCGCCAUCAACCCACGCCGCUCGUGCGAGCAGCCAGCCCCGCUGCCUCCCUGGUAUGUUCUUGUACAUACUAAUUUAAUCUCAGGCUGAUUCGUAGGCCGGUCUCCCUGCAGAUACGCUACAAAUCUUCAACGACGCUCGAUGAGUCCAUGGUGCGCUUGCCGGAUUCCAGGAGGGCCAGAGGAAGAUGAGUACCUCGUGUCUUUCUUGUUCAAUCAAUCCAGCUAUUAAUUCUAUGCCUCGGUUUAUUCAUAUUAGUAAUAGCUAUUUGAAUGAAUGUUAUUAUUUUGCAGUGGAAAUCACCAGGUCAAACCAUAUGGAUGCACAGUUCGGUUCUGAGAUAUUGUUUCUGAAGAUCUUUGAAAUAACAGAAAAAAUGGCUACUGAAUAAUCAGCAGAAGUGGGACGAUAGGGAGCUCCUGAACCAUUAGAAGUGAUUUUUCAUUCAGGAUGUUUGACCAAUAAAGUGUACAGUUUUUAUGUAUGUACAGUUCAAUUGUAAACUAUGGUCGCUGUCCAGAAAUAAAGUCCAAAUUUUCCAA
Brachypodium distachyon (stiff brome) is the source of this 875-nucleotide long non-coding RNA. RefSeq lists it as uncharacterized. NCBI's taxonomy places the organism in Eukaryota, Viridiplantae, Streptophyta, Magnoliopsida, Poales, Poaceae. The record is from RefSeq and is a predicted model, not a curated record. The transcript is spliced from 2 exons.